CCACUCGUCCUCCUCCCCGCUCCCCUUCCUGGCGGCGCUCCCGACCGCCGCACGACGUCUUCUCUUCCCCACCGUCGAACUCAGGCCGCCGCUCCGCCCCCCGUCCCCGUCGCACCUCCCCUCGAGCCGCCGGCUGGCGCUCUCCCUUCACCGGAGGAGUUGGGUGAGAGGAGCGUGGGCCUUCGCCGUCCUCGUGCACCCCAUGUCGCCGCCUUCUCCUCCGCGCGCCCAGUCGGCCGCCGCUCCUCUGCGCCGCCUUCCUCCUCCUCCUCCUCGAGGCCGUCCAGGAUCAAGCGUGGGCCGCGUGGAUAGCAAGGUGGCAGAGCUGUCCGCGGCAUAGUCGUGGGCGGGAGGAGCAGGAGGUCUAGCCAUCUGCGGCGCCGUCGCUGCCGUGCCUCAAUCCAGGACGAGAAGCUCGUCCUCCUGCUCCACCAUAUGCCCGUGUGCAGCUUGCAGAUGCAGACUGGUGUUCGUGCUGCCUCUCCAUCCCACAAAGUGUUUCCGCCUCAGGGAUUGGUUGGACAUUGCCAAGCCAAUAUGAUUCUAACUUUGCCUACAUCUGUUUAGGAGAAGAAAUAGAGGCGCGUGGACAUGUGCAUGUUUGCUCUGAAUAAAUCAUGUUUGUUGCAGGUAUUGUGCUUUGGAGUUCUGAUGUAUAACUCUUGCACGGUGUGUGAGAACAUUCCCGUGGUUGUCUGCAGUAACAAGGUUUUUAGUAGUAUGCAAUUUCUGCCAAAAGCGACUACAACUUUGAGAAGCCCAUCCUUUACCUUGCAAGCAAACUGGCUAGAGAAAGCAGGAAGAGGAGGAAGCAUAGAGGGAGAAGGGUGAGGAAGAGAAGAGCCUGACCGACACGUUGCGUCUCCCAUAGGCACUGCGAUGUGAGAGUCAUAUAUAGUAAAAAGGACUGAAUCUGCCGAGCACCGGAGCUGUCCCUCAGAUCCAACCACAACAGUUGGUUGAUUUAUCCCGAUCUACUUAGCUGGUUUCAUUGCAGGGUUACUCUUGCCUUCGAUAUUUCGACCUUCUUUGUGCUUCAAUUAUCCAGAUUCCUACAGAAGGACGGAUACCCUUUCUUUUCUAUUGGAUGGGCAACAACAUAACCCCGCUGUGCGUAUGUGGCCGGACUAUAAUAACAACUAUGGUAUGAAAGCGGCAAGGAGGUGCUACCUGAUAUACAUCAAUGACGAUGAAGAUUCGGGCGGCGGCUAGGGUUCGAUUUCUGCCGUGGAUGAUGGAUCUCGGCUCUUCCCCUGGUUGAUUGCGAUGGAUGAGGAUAAGGGUUAGGGUUGGCCCUUGGUCUCAGGUUGCCGCGUCGUCCUCGUCUUGGGCUUGCAAGGGAUUGGAUCCGGUGUGAUUGAUUCUUCCUCUCGCAAGCUUGGGAGGGAUAAAAGAGGUCACUGGUAGAUGAUGGGGGAGCAAGCAAGGACUGAUGGGUGCAUCACUACACUGCUACCCGUUUCUCAACUUUUGCUUUACACGACACUAUUUCGACAGAAUAUUGUACGAAGGGUGGACUAUGAAGGGAAACACUGGUGUUCUAAGAUAGAUGUUCUGUGUUUGAGAUCUUGCCUUGGUAGCUGGAUGCCUUGGUGCAAGACAUUCAAGGUUGUUUGAUGUGUUUGUGCUCGUCGGCGGGACGGUGCAAGGCGCAACUCCGACGCGGUUCCUCGCCGGUUGGACGGCGUUCAGGCGCAACCCCGGCGCGCACUGAGUACUGCCUCGGCUACAGCCUCCCUCGCCAAGAUGAGUGCUUUACGCUUACGGCUCAUGCUAACUGAACUGGUGAUGUUUCUUUCUUCACCUCGAUUGACGCCACAUGUCCCCCCUGUCUCAGGUUGCCACGUCGUCCUCGUCUUCGGCUUGCAAGGGACUGGAUCUGGUGUGAUUGAUUCUUCCUCUCGCAAGGUUAUGAUGGCCGACAAACAGCUCCAAGUUCACAGGUCGCCAGGCUCGCCGAGUGACGCUGGCUCCAACGGUGGUCUGUGAGCACUUGCCCAGGUCAAUUGAUAUUUGUGGUGGCCCUUCUCUGUUUUUACUUGGAAAAAUUUAGUCUGUAUGUGCCUCAGUGAUUUUUAAAAUCAAAGGAAAUGCUCUGUGCAGAAAAAUACAUAUCUAAUCUAGGGGGUAUAUGUAAUAGCGGUAGAUAAAUAAUAAUCUUUAGAUUCAGGCAGUAUACUACAAUCUGCCUUCUGGAGAGGGGCCUAUGCUUGCUAAGUUCUUUGUACGGUGCCUUCAGGGAGGCUGUGUGGUGCCGGCCGGAUGUACGGCGAGGUCUUCAUAAUGGCAUCAAGUCACCCUUGCCAUAUGGAUCAUAUGUAAGCUCUUCCUGCUAACCUACAGGAGUACAUUUUGAUGCUUCAAGUCUGAACCUAUGUAACUUGUGAACUAAUGCCUCCCUGAGUGUGUGUGUGUGUGUGUGCACGCGCUAUGUUAAAUCAAACUUCUUCAGACUACUGUGAAGUAAUGCCACUUGUCAUAUUGACCAAAUUUCAUUGCUUGAUGGCCAUUUAGAGAGGCCAUUUAGAGUUGUCAAAAAUCUAGGACUGUGAAGUCUAUUUACACUGUCAAAAAUCUCGGACUGUUUUCAGAGUUGCUACAACAAUGGAAUUUUCAGUUUGACAAAACAGUUUAAACUGAAAAUCUGGGACUUCACAUUUGCUACAACAGAGUUGUCAAAAAUUCAGUUUACACUGUUAGUUUGACAAAAACUGUCCAAACUGAAAAUUCAGUUAUAAUGGUGUAGGCAUUGUUAAUCUUUGGGGAUAAUUGUAGAUGUUGUGAAGUG
Molecule: long non-coding RNA, 2788 nt
Organism: Triticum dicoccoides
Lineage: Eukaryota; Viridiplantae; Streptophyta; Magnoliopsida; Poales; Poaceae
Exons: 14
Source: RefSeq, a predicted model, not a curated record